RNAcentral lists this ribosomal RNA (329 nucleotides) under uncultured eukaryote. Its description in RNAcentral is "partial 18S ribosomal RNA". It matches the Rfam family "Eukaryotic small subunit ribosomal RNA", at positions 1470 to 1796 of the family's 1831-position model. The record is from RNAcentral.
CCCUUAGAUGUUCUGGGCCGCACGCGCGCUACACUGACGAUGGCAACGAGUUUUUCCUUCGCCGAAAGGUGUGGGUAAUCUUUUGAAACAUCGUCGUGCUGGGGAUAGAUCAUUGCAAUUUUUGAUCUUGAACGAGGAAUUCCUAGUAAGCGCGAGUCAUCAGCUCGCGUUGAUUACGUCCCUGCCCUUUGUACACACCGCCCGUCGCUACUACCGAUUGAAUGGUUUAGUGAGGACUCCUGAUUGGCGCCGCCGCCCCGGCAACGGAGCAGCGUACUGCCGAAAAGUUGUUCAAACUUGAUCAUUUAGAGGAAGUAAAAGUCGUAACA